Molecule: ribosomal RNA, 253 nt
Filed under: uncultured bacterium
Lineage: Bacteria
Description: partial 16S ribosomal RNA
Rfam family: Bacterial small subunit ribosomal RNA
Source: RNAcentral
UACAGAGGUGGCAAGCGUUGUUCGGAAUUACUGGGCGUAAAGGGCGCGUAGGCGGCCUCCUAAGUCGGACGUGAAAGCCCCAGGCUUAACCUGGGAACUGCACUUGUGACUGCACAGCUGGAGUGCGGCAGAGGGGGAUGGAAUUCCGCGUGUAGCAGUGAAAUGCGUAGAUAUGCGGAGGAACACCGAUGGCGAAGGCAAUCCCCUGGGCCUGCACUGACGCUCAUGCACGAAAGCGUGGGGAGCAAACAGG